GUCCGUUCGUUUGAUUUGUUUUUAUUAUUUGAUUUUGCCAUUUGAUUAGGAACUUUCCGUUUAGGAUUUUCCUCGGAGUUCAGUAUUUUUUUUUUAUUUUACGUUUUUUUGUUACAAAACUAUAAAUACAAUUUAGAAUAUAAAUUCGAAAUGGGAAAAAAAGACAACAUGUAUCAAAACACGUUUUUUUCGCAUGCGUAAAACAUAGCAUUGCGUGGUACUUUUUCCCAUGUAUCCUUUUGUGUCAGCAAAAAGGCUUUAUCAUGUUUUUUU
Molecule: long non-coding RNA, 273 nt
Filed under: Mytilus galloprovincialis (Mediterranean mussel)
Lineage: Eukaryota; Metazoa; Mollusca; Bivalvia; Mytilida; Mytilidae
Source: RNAcentral